UACGAAGGGGGCUAGCGUUGCUCGGAAUCACUGGGCGUAAAGCGCACGUAGGCGGAUCGCUAAGUCAGGGGUGAAAUCCUGGAGCUCAACUCCAGAACUGCCUUUGAUACUGGCAAUCUCGAGUCCGGGAGAGGUGAGUGGAACUGCGAGUGUAGAGGUGAAAUUCGUAGAUAUUCGCAAGAACACCAGUGGCGAAGGCGGCUCACUGGCCCGGUACUGACGCUGAGGUGCGAAAGCGUGGGUAGCAAACAGG
This 253-nucleotide ribosomal RNA is filed under the name uncultured bacterium. Its description in RNAcentral is "partial 16S ribosomal RNA". It matches the Rfam family "Bacterial small subunit ribosomal RNA", at positions 524 to 776 of the family's 1533-position model. The record is from RNAcentral.